GUUGUUGGGUAGGGGAGCGUUCUGUAAGCCGUUGAAGGUGUGCUGUGAGGCAUGCUGGAGGUAUCAGAAGUGCGAAUGCUGACAUAAGUAACGAUAAAGCGGGUGAAAAGCCCGCUCGCCGGAAGACCAAGGGUUCCUGUCCAACGUUAAUCGGGGCAGGGUGAGUCGACCCCUAAGGCGAGGCCGAAAGGCGUAGUCGAUGGGAAACAGGUUAAUAUUCCUGUACUUGGUGUUACUGCGAAGGGGGGACGGAGAAGGCUAUGUCAGCCGGGCGACGGUUGUCCCGGUUUAAGCAUGUAGGCGGAGGUUCCAGGUAAAUCCGGUACCUUGUUAACGCUGAGGUGUGAUGACGAGGCACUACGGUGCUGAAGUGAUAAAUGCCCUGCUUCCAGGAAAAGCCUCUAAGCAUCAGGUAACACGAAAUCGUACCCCAAACCGACACAGGUGGUCAGGUAGAGAAUACCAAGGCGCUUGAGAGAACUCGGGUGAAGGAACUAGGCAAAAUGGUGCCGUAACUUCGGGAGAAGGCACGCUGAUAUGUAGGUGAAGCCCCUGCGGGCGGAGCUGAAAUCAGUCGAAGAUACCAGCUGGCUGCAACUGUUUAUUAAAAACACAGCACUGUGCAAACACGAAAGUGGACGUAUACGGUGUGACGCCUGCCCGGUGCCGGAAGGUUAAUUGAUGGGGUUAGCGGCAACGCGAAGCUCUUGAUCGAAGCCCCGGUAAACGGCGGCCGUAACUAUAACGGUCCUAAGGUAGCGAAAUUCCUUGUCGGGUAAGUUCCGACCUGCACGAAUGGCGUAAUGAUGGCCAGGCUGUCUCCACCCGAGACUCAGUGAAAUUGAACUCGCUGUGAAGAUGCAGUGUACCCGCGGCAAGACGGAAAGACCCCGUGAACCUUUACUAUAGCUUGACACUGAACACUGGUCCUUGAUGUGUAGGAUAGGUGGGAGGCUUUGAAGCGUGGACGCCAGUCUGCGUGGAGCCGCCCUUGAAAUACCACCCUUUAAUGGCUGGUGUUCUAACGUAGACCCGUAAUCCGGGUUGCGGACAGUGUCUGGUGGGUAGUUUGACUGGGGCGGUCUCCUCCCAAAGAGUAACGGAGGAGCACGAAGGUUGGCUAAUCCUGGUCGGACAUCAGGAGGUUAGUGCAAUGGCAUAAGCCAGCUUGACUGCGAGCGUGACGGCGCGAGCAGGUGCGAAAGCAGGUCAUAGUGAUCCGGUGGUUCUGAAUGGAAGGGCCAUCGCUCAACGGAUAAAAGGUACUCCGGGGAUAACAGGCUGAUACCGCCCAAGAGUUCAUAUCGACGGCGGUGUUUGGCACCUCGAUGUCGGCUCAUCACAUCCUGGGGCUGAAGUAGGUCCCAAGGGUAUGGCUGUUCGCCAUUUAAAGUGGUACGCGAGCUGGGUUUAGAACGUCGUGAGACAGUUCGGUCCCUAUCUGCCGUGGGCGCUGGAGAAUUGAGGGGGGCUGCUCCUAGUACGAGAGGACCGGAGUGGACGCAUCACUGGUGUUCGGGUUGUCAUGCCAAUGGCACUGCCCGGUAGCUAAAUGCGGAAGAGAUAAGUGCUGAAAGCAUCUAAGCACGAAACUUGCCCCGAGAUGAGUUCUCCCUGAGACUUUAAGUCUCCUGAAGGAACGUUAAAGACGAUGACGUUGAUAGGUCGGGUGUGUAAGCGCAGCGAUGCGUUGAGCUAACCGAUACUAAUGAACCGUGAGGCUUAACCUUACAACGCCGAAG
RNAcentral lists this ribosomal RNA (1742 nucleotides) under Enterobacter hormaechei. RNAcentral's name for it is "partial 23S ribosomal RNA". It matches the Rfam family "Bacterial large subunit ribosomal RNA", at positions 1220 to 2925 of the family's 2925-position model. Lineage: Bacteria; Pseudomonadati; Pseudomonadota; Gammaproteobacteria; Enterobacterales; Enterobacteriaceae. The record is from RNAcentral.